Molecule: long non-coding RNA, 336 nt
Filed under: Gallus gallus (chicken)
Lineage: Eukaryota; Metazoa; Chordata; Aves; Galliformes; Phasianidae
Source: RNAcentral
GUGUAUUAUAAAGAGUAAAGAACUGCUUUGUUUCUUUGUGAGUUGCUGAGACCUGACUGUAAAGUUCAAUAAAUCUCUUCUGAUACUGUGUUAGCUCAGCUCGGCUGGGUACUUCAUCAAUCUUGCGCUGUAAAAUCGCUAUUUCUCUGUUUCUUCGUGCCAACAAUAGGCGGAUCUUUUGAAGUUUUUCCUUCUCAGUUUGGUACUGCUGGUCUAUAAGCUUAUUCGGCUCCUCUUCCUCCCCAUUUUCUGCUGCCUCAGCUUUCAAAUUCUCAAUAUCUUGUUGAAGCCGCUCCAUUUCUUCCCUACAAUGUGCUUUGAAUUCUUGCUCCUGGC